AUAAGAACAUGAUAUGUUCUGUAGGAUAGUACCUCUAUAACCUUCUGAAGAGACAGGAGUCCAAACCUGGUGGAUGAAUCAUGACCCGUGUAUCAGAGUGUGAUUAACAAUGGCAUGAGUAUUAGUUUGGAUUAUUUCUCAUGGAAAGGUCAAUACUCGUGAUAUGGUUUAGAAGAGAAGAUCUUUGUUUGCCGUUCUGUCCUUUGAUGUACUAUGUGUAAAAUUCAGGGG
RNAcentral lists this small RNA (231 nucleotides) under Prunus dulcis (almond). RNAcentral's name for it is "sRNA ncRNA". The record is from RNAcentral. Lineage: Eukaryota; Viridiplantae; Streptophyta; Magnoliopsida; Rosales; Rosaceae.